GAAUGUGAGAGCAAUUUGGCUGGGACAUAUAACACUCUGUGACCACUAGGUUGACUCAUCAGAUAAAAGGGCCAGAGGAGCCUGUCCCCUUCCUCCCUCUCAUUUCCGUCACAUCUUUUUCAAAGUCUUAAGAUGGAAGGAAAUGCUCUACCUAGACAGAAGAGACCCAUGCGUCAGUCAAGGAAAUAGGAAUGACUACGCUUUCUUCCCCUAAGGUCUCUAAGCUUUCAAAGGCUCUUUUUUUCUUUGAAAUCCCAGUGUAAGAAUAUGA
This is an unclassified non-coding RNA of Bison bison bison, 271 nucleotides long. Its record names the gene 7SK. It matches the Rfam family "7SK RNA". From Rfam's summary of the family: 7SK was discovered as an abundant small nuclear RNA in the mid-70s but a possible function has only recently been suggested. Two independent studies have found that 7SK RNA binds the CDK9/cyclin T complex (known as elongation factor P-TEFb). P-TEFb activates transcription by phosphorylating the C-terminal domain of RNA polymerase II. The record is from Ensembl. Lineage: Eukaryota; Metazoa; Chordata; Mammalia; Artiodactyla; Bovidae.